AACGAACGCUGGCGGCAGGCUUAACACAUGCAAGUCGAACGGAUCCUUCGGGAUUAGUGGCAGACGGGUGAGUAACGCGUGGGAACGUACCCUUUGCUACGGAAUAACUCAGGGAAACUUGAGCUAAUACCGUAUGUGCCCUACGGGGGAAAGAUUUAUCUGCAAAGGAUCGGCCCGCGUUGGAUUAGCUAGUUGGUGGGGUAAUGGCCUACCAAGGCGACGAUCCAUAGCUGGUCUGAGAGGAUGAUCAGCCACACUGGGACUGAGACACGGCCCAGACUCCUACGGGAGGCAGCAGUGGGGAAUAUUGGACAAUGGGCGCAAGCCUGAUCCAGCCAUGCCGCGUGAGUGAUGAAGGUCUUAGGAUUGUAAAGCUCUUUCACCGGUGAAGAUAAUGACGGUAGCCGGAGAAGAAGCCCCGGCUAACUUCGUG
Molecule: ribosomal RNA, 433 nt
Filed under: uncultured bacterium
Lineage: Bacteria
Description: partial 16S ribosomal RNA
Rfam family: Bacterial small subunit ribosomal RNA
Source: RNAcentral